UCCGGCUUACCACCGGCGGUCCCUUUAGAGUGCCCAACUAAAUGAUGGCAACUAAGGACGAGGGUUGCGCUCGUUGCGGGACUUAACCCAACAUCUCACGACACGAGCUGACGACAGCCAUGCAGCACCUGUGUUCUCGCCCCUUGCGGGAAGGAAACCAUCUCUGGCGACCAUACGAGACAUGUCAAGGGCUGGUAAGGUUCUUCGCGUUGCUUCGAAUUGAACCACAUGCUCCACCGCUUGUGCGGGCCCCGUCAAUUCCUUUGAGUUUUAAUCUUGCGACCGUACUCCCCAGGCGGAAUGCUUAAUGCGUUAGCUGCGCCACUGACAGGCAAGCCUGACAACGGCUAGCAUUCAUCGUUUACGGCGUGGACUAC
RNAcentral lists this unclassified non-coding RNA (377 nucleotides) under uncultured Alphaproteobacteria bacterium. RNAcentral describes it as "contains 16S-23S intergenic spacer region". Lineage: Bacteria; Pseudomonadati; Pseudomonadota; Alphaproteobacteria. The record is from RNAcentral.